ACAUGCUUACAUCAUAGCGUUAAUGCACCAGAUCCCUUUAAAACUCCGCAGUUAAGAGCACUUAGGCUAGAGUAGUACUGGGAUGGUUGACUGCCCAGGAAGUUCUAAUGUUUUACAUUCC
Molecule: non-coding RNA, 121 nt
Organism: Picea glauca (white spruce)
Lineage: Eukaryota; Viridiplantae; Streptophyta; Pinopsida; Pinales; Pinaceae
Source: Rfam